RNAcentral lists this ribosomal RNA (533 nucleotides) under uncultured archaeon. RNAcentral's name for it is "bacterial SSU rRNA". It matches the Rfam family "Archaeal small subunit ribosomal RNA", at positions 465 to 997 of the family's 1478-position model. The record is from RNAcentral.
CCGCGGUAACACCGGCGGCCCGAGUGGUGAUCGUGAUUAUUGGGUCUAAAGGGUCCGUAGCCGGUUUGGUCAGUCCUCCGGGAAAUCUGAUAGCUCAACUAUUAGGCUUUCGGGGGAUACUGCCAGACUUGGAACCGGGAGAGGUAAGAGGUACUACAGGGGUAGGAGUGAAAUCUUGUAAUCCCUGUGGGACCACCUGUGGCGAAGGCGUCUUACCAGAACGGGUUCGACGGUGAGGACGAAAGCUGGGGGCACGAACCGGAUUAGAUACCCGGGUAGUCCCAGCCGUAAACGAUGCUCGCUAGGUGUCAGGCAUGGCGCGACCGUGUCUGGUGCCGCAGGGAAGCCGUGAAGCGAGCCACCUGGGAAGUACGGCCGCAAGGCUGAAACUUAAAGGAAUUGGCGGGGGAGCACAACAACGGGUGGAGCCCUGCGGUUUAAUUGGACUCAACGCCGGACAACUCACCGGGGGCGACAGCAAUAUGUAGGCCAAGCUGAAGACUUUGCCUGAAUCGCUGAGAGGUGGUGCAUGG